GGAACGGAGCCAUCCCACCUAGGGAAUAUUCCCCUCAGAUUCGGGAUGGGGAGGCUCCAAUUUUUCUGGCGGACGGAGCCGCUCGCGAGCCACGCGCUCCCCACCCCCGCUCUCGUUCGAACGGAUCAGGAGCCCGUGAACUUUCCGGCAGCACGAAAUUUUACAACAAAGUGCACUGCAGCUCAAGAUGGAUGAGGAGGAUCAGAUUCUUAUGUAUGCCGCUGUUGCUUAUAUGUGGCUUUCGAUGAUGGCAAUGAUAAUUAAAACUAGGAAGAGAAAACGUCAUAAUCAUGCUCCCGUAGGACAAAUUAGCUAUGGUCCAAUUGAUGAAAGAGAUAAGAAAAGAUUAGAUUAUCUCAAUGAUAAAAUUUGGAAGAAUGAUACGACGUGUGUCAAUAUGCUUAGGCUUAACAGAGCAUCAUUCUUCCGCUUUUGUAAACUCUUUAGAGAUCGUGGGCUAUUAGAAGACACUAUACACAUGUGUAUUGAGCAGCAAUUAGCGAUGUUUUUGCACACCAUUGGACACAAUCAACGGAAUAGGGUAGUUGCUACUAAUUUUGGUAGGUCUGG
Molecule: long non-coding RNA, 570 nt
Organism: Panicum hallii
Lineage: Eukaryota; Viridiplantae; Streptophyta; Magnoliopsida; Poales; Poaceae
Exons: 3
Source: RefSeq, a predicted model, not a curated record